Molecule: ribosomal RNA, 443 nt
Filed under: uncultured bacterium
Lineage: Bacteria
Description: partial 16S ribosomal RNA
Rfam family: Bacterial small subunit ribosomal RNA
Source: RNAcentral
CCUACGGGAGGCAGCAGUGGGGAAUAUUGGGCAAUGGGCGCAAGCCUGACCCAGCAACGCCGCGUGAAGGAAGAAGGCUCUCGGGUUGUAAACUUCUUUUAUCAGGGACGAAGCAAGUGACGGUACCUGAUGAAUAAGCCACGGCUAACUACGUGCCAGCAGCCGCGGUAAUACGUAGGUGGCAAGCGUUAUCCGGAUUUACUGGGUGUAAAGGGCGUGUAGGCGGGAAAGCAAGUCAGAUGUGAAAACCAUGGGCUCAACCUGUGGCCUGCAUUUGAAACUGUUUUUCUUGAGUACUGGAGAGGCAGACGGAAUUCCUAGUGUAGCGGUGAAAUGCGUAGAUAUUAGGGGGAACACCAGGGGCGAAGGCGGGCUGCUGGACAGCAACUGACGCUGAGGCGCGAAAGCGUGGGGAGCAAACAGGAUUAGAUACCCGGGUAGUC